This 289-nucleotide ribosomal RNA is filed under the name uncultured bacterium. Its description in RNAcentral is "partial 16S ribosomal RNA". It matches the Rfam family "Bacterial small subunit ribosomal RNA", at positions 773 to 1060 of the family's 1533-position model. The record is from RNAcentral.
GUGGAUUAGAUACCCUGGUAGUCCACGCCGUAAACGAUGAGAACUAGCCGUUGGAAACCUUAGAGUUUUUAGUGGCGAAGCUAACGCGAUAAGUUCUCCGCCUGGGGAGUACGGCCGCAAGGUUAAAACUCAAAUGAAUUGACGGGGGCCCGCACAAGCGGUGGAGCAUGUGGUUUAAUUCGACGCAACGCGAAGAACCUUACCUGGUCUUGACAUCCUGCGAACCUUUCAGAGAUGAGAGGGUGCCUUCGGGAGCGCAGAGACAGGUGCUGCACGGCCGUCGCCAACU